UACGGGGGGGGCAAGCGUUGUUCGGAAUUAUUGGGCGUAAAGAGCUCGUAGGCGGUCUGUCGCGUCUGCUGUGAAAACUCGGGGCUUAACCCCGGGCCUGCAGUGGGUACGGGCAGACUAGAGUGCGGUAGGGGAGACUGGAAUUCCUGGUGUAGCGGUGAAAUGCGCAGAUAUCAGGAGGAACACCGGUGGCGAAGGCGGGUCUCUGGGCCGUAACUGACGCUGAGGAGCGAAAGCGUGGGGAGCGAACAGG
RNAcentral lists this ribosomal RNA (253 nucleotides) under uncultured bacterium. Its description in RNAcentral is "partial 16S ribosomal RNA". It matches the Rfam family "Bacterial small subunit ribosomal RNA", at positions 524 to 776 of the family's 1533-position model. The record is from RNAcentral.